GCGGAGGAAAAGAAACCAACAGGGAUUGCCCUAGUAACGGCGAGUGAAGCGGCAACAGCUCAAAUUUGAAAUCUGGCGCAAGCCCGAGUUGUAAUUUGUAGAGGAUGCUUCUGGGCAGCGGCCGUUCUAAGUUCCUUGGAACAGGACGUCAUAGAGGGUGAGAAUCCCGUAUGUGACCGGCGCGCACCCUCCACGUAGCUCCUUCGACGAGUCGAGUUGUUUGGGAAUGCAGCUCUAAAUGGGAGGUAAAUUUCUUCUAAAGCUAAAUACCGGCCAGAGACCGAUAGCGCACAAGUAGAGUGAUCGAAAGAUGAAAAGCACUUUGGAAAGAGAGUUAAAAAGCACGUGAAAUUGUUGAAAGGGAAGCGCUUGCAACCAGACUUCGCGGCGGUGUUCCGCCGGUCUUUUGACCGGUCUACUCGCCGCCGCGAGGCCAACAUCGUCUGGGGCCGCCGGAUAAGACCGUAGGAAUGUGGCUCCCUCGGGAGUGUUAUAGCCUGCGGUGAUGCGGCGCGUCUCGGGCGAGGUCCGCGCUUCGGCAAGGAUGUUGGCGUAAUGGUUGCCAGCGGCCCGUCUUGAAACACGGACCAAGGAGUCUAACAUCUAUGCGAGUGUUCGGGUGUCAAACCCCUACGCGUAAUGAAAGUGAACGGAGGUGGGAGCUUCGGCGCACCAUCGACCGAUCCUGAUGUCCUCGGAUGGAUUUGAGUAAGAGCAUAGCUGUUGGGACCCGAAAGAUGGUGAACUAUGCCUGAAUAGGGUGAAGCCAGAGGAAACUCUGGUGGAGGCUCGCAGCGGUUCUGACGUGCAAAUCGAUCGUCAAAUUUGGGUAUAGGGGCGAAAGACUAAUCGAACCAUCUAGUAGCUGGUUCCUGCC
This 877-nucleotide ribosomal RNA is filed under the name Paramycosphaerella brachystegiae. Its description in RNAcentral is "eukaryotic LSU rRNA". It matches the Rfam family "Eukaryotic large subunit ribosomal RNA", at positions 50 to 962 of the family's 3401-position model. The record is from RNAcentral. Lineage: Eukaryota; Fungi; Ascomycota; Dothideomycetes; Mycosphaerellales; Mycosphaerellaceae.